CUUUCGGCUUGACAUUGUCUGAAGAUUUAAUAGGUACAGAUGCACAGCAUGAAGACAGCCAUGAUGGACCUGCCAAGGAUGCCUGACUAUUAAAGGUGAAAAGUAACAGAGCCUAGGCAGAAGCUGAAAGCAGAAGGAGUAGAGCUAAAGUAGAAGAUGCCAAGAAAAAAGCAUCAUCAAAACUUUUCGUAACUGAUCUUUCUACUGAAUUCUGCUCCUUGGCUGAAUAUUGCUGAAUAG
Sceloporus undulatus (fence lizard) is the source of this 240-nucleotide long non-coding RNA. RefSeq lists it as uncharacterized. The transcript is spliced from 3 exons. Lineage: Eukaryota; Metazoa; Chordata; Lepidosauria; Squamata; Phrynosomatidae. The record is from RefSeq and is a predicted model, not a curated record.